Molecule: ribosomal RNA, 481 nt
Filed under: uncultured bacterium
Lineage: Bacteria
Description: bacterial SSU rRNA
Rfam family: Bacterial small subunit ribosomal RNA
Source: RNAcentral
UAGUCCACGCCGUAAACGAUCAUCACUCGCUGUUGGCGAUAUACUGUCAGCGGCCAAGCGAAAGUAUUAAGUGAUGCACCUGGGGAGUACGCCGGCAACGGUGAAACUCAAAGGAAUUGACGGGGGCCCGCACAAGCGGUGGAGCAUGUGGUUUAAUUCGAUGAUACGCGAGGAACCUUACCAGGGCUUAAAUGUAGUAUGACCGGUCUGGAAACAGGCCUUCCCUUCGGGGCAGAUUACAAGGUGCUGCAUGGUUGUCGUCAGCUCGUGCCGUGAGGUGUUGGGUUAAGUCCCGCAACGAGCGCAACCCUCGUUCUUAGUUGCCAUCAUUUAGUUGGGCACUCUAAGAAGACUGCCGGUGACAAACCGGAGGAAGGUGGGGAUGACGUCAAGUCAUCAUGGGCCCUUAUGGGGCUGGGGCUACACACGUGCUACAAUGGGUAGGUACAAAGGGGUCGCUAACCCGCGAGGGGGGCGCUAA